UACGAAGGGGGCAAGCGUUGUUCGGAAUUACUGGGCGUAAAGGGAGUGUAGGCGGCAUAGCAAGAUAGGGGUGAAAUCCCGGGGCUUAACCUCGGAACUGCCUCUAUAACUGCUAGGCUAGAGUUAUAGAGAGGAUGACGGAAUAUCCAGUGUAGAGGUGAAAUUCGUAGAUAUUGGAUAGAACACCAGUGGCGAAGGCG
This 200-nucleotide ribosomal RNA is filed under the name uncultured bacterium. RNAcentral describes it as "partial 16S ribosomal RNA". It matches the Rfam family "Bacterial small subunit ribosomal RNA", at positions 524 to 723 of the family's 1533-position model. The record is from RNAcentral.